This 301-nucleotide ribosomal RNA is filed under the name uncultured bacterium. Its description in RNAcentral is "partial 16S ribosomal RNA". It matches the Rfam family "Bacterial small subunit ribosomal RNA", at positions 509 to 807 of the family's 1533-position model. The record is from RNAcentral.
CAGCCGCCGCGGUAAUACGAAGGGUGCAAGCGUUAAUCGGAAUUACUGGGCGUAAAGCGUGCGUAGGUGGUGGUUUAAGUCCGUUGUGAAAGCCCUGGGCUCAACCUGGGAAUUGUAGUGGAUACUGGGUCACUAGAGUGUGGUAGAGGAUAGUGGAAUUUCCGGUGUAGCAGUGAAAUGCGUAGAGAUCGGAAGGAACAUCUGUGGCGAAGGCGACUAUCUGGGCCAACACUGACACUGAGGCACGAAAGCGUGGGGAGCAAACAGGAUUAGAUACCCGUGUAGUCCCUGUCUCUUAUAC